GCCUCCCAAAGUGCUGGGAUUACAGGCGUGAGCCACCGCGCCCAGCCCUGUUACUGUUCUUAAUGUGGGUUCUAAACAAUUUUAAAUUAAUUAC
Sapajus apella (tufted capuchin) is the source of this 94-nucleotide long non-coding RNA. RefSeq lists it as uncharacterized. The record is from RefSeq and is a predicted model, not a curated record. NCBI's taxonomy places the organism in Eukaryota, Metazoa, Chordata, Mammalia, Primates, Cebidae. The transcript is spliced from 3 exons.